AACCAGCUCUUCAAGUGGUCGGGAUGAUUAUUGGGCUUAAAGUGUCCGUAGCCGGUUUAGUAAGUUCCUGGUAAAAUCGGGUAGCUUAACUAUCCGUAUGCUAGGAAUACUGCUAUACUAGAGGACGGGAGAGGUCUGAGGUACUAUAGGGGUAGGGGUGAAAUCCUAUAAUCCUUAUAGGACCACCAGUGGCGAAGGCGUCAGACUGGAACGUGCCUGACGGUGAGGGACGAAAGCCAGGGGAGCGAACCGGAUUAGAUACCCCUGUA
This 269-nucleotide ribosomal RNA is filed under the name uncultured prokaryote. RNAcentral describes it as "partial 16S ribosomal RNA". It matches the Rfam family "Archaeal small subunit ribosomal RNA", at positions 474 to 743 of the family's 1478-position model. The record is from RNAcentral.